AGGAUGAGAAUGAAUCGCCUUUCCCUGAUAUUCCAAAAGUUUCUGAACUUAUUGCCAAAGAAGAUGUAGACUUCCUGCCCUACAUGAGCUGGCAGGGGGAGCCCCAAGAAGCCGUCAGGAACCAGUCUCUUUUAGCAUCCUCUGAGUGGCCAGAAUUACGUUUAUCCAAACGAAAACGUAGGAAAAUUCCAUUUUCCAAAAGAAAAAUGGAAUUAUCUCAGCCAGAAGUUUCUGAAGAUUUUGAAGAGGAUGCCUUAGGUGUACUACCAGCUUUCACAUCAAAUUUGGAACGUGGAGGUGUGGAAAAGCUAUUGGAUUUAAGUUGGACAGAGUCAUGUAAACCAACAGCAACUGAACCACUAUUUAAGAAAGUCAGUCCAUGGGAAACAUCUACUUCUAGCUUUUUUCCUAUUUUGGCUCCGGCCGUUGGUUCCUAUCUUCCCCCGACUGCCCGCGCUCACAGUCCUGCUUCCUUGUCUUUUGCCUCAUAUCGUCAGGUAGCUAGUUUCGGUUCAGCUGCUCCUCCCAGACAGUUUGAUGCAUCUCAAUUCAGCCAAGGCCCUGUGCCUGGCAGUUGUGCUGACUGGAUCCCACAGUCGGCGUCUUGUCCCACAGGACCUCCCCAGAACCCACCUUCUGCACCCUAUUGUGGCAUUGUUUUUUCAGGGAGCUCAUUAAGCUCUGCACAGUCUGCUCCACCGCAACCUGCUGGAGGCCAUAUGACCAGGCCUUCUGCUGGCACCUUCCCUGAGCUGGAUUCUCCCCAGCUUCAUUUCUCUGUUCCUACAGACCCUGAUCCCAUUAGAGGUUUUGGGUCUUAUCAUCCCUCUGCUUCUUCUCCUUUUCAUUUUCAACCUUCCGCAGCCUCUUUGACUGCCAACCUUAGGCUGCCAAUGGCCUCUGCCUUACCUGAGGCUCUUUGCAGUCAGUCCCGGACUACCCCACUAGAUCUCUGUCUUCUAGAAGAAUCAGUAGGCAGUCUCGAAGGAAGUCGAUGUCCUGUCUUUGCUUUUCAAAGUUCUGACACAGAAAGUGAUGAGCUAUCAGAAGUACUUCAAGACAGCUGCUUUUUACAAAUAAAAUGUGAUACAAAAGAUGACAGUAUCCUGUGCUUUCUGGAAGUAAAAGAAGAGGAUGAAAUAGUGUGCACACAACACUGGCAGGAUGCUGUGCCUUGGACAGAACUCCUCAGUCUACAGACAGAGGAUGGCUUCUGGAAACUUACACCAGAACUGGGACUUAUAUUAAAUCUUAAUACAAAUGGUUUGCACAGCUUUCUUAAACAAAAAGGCAUUCAAUCUCUAGGUGUAAAAGGAAGAGAACGUCUCCUGGACAUAAUUGCCACAAUGCUGGUACUACAGUUUAUUCGCACCAGGUUGGAAAAAGAGGGAAUAGUGUUCAAAUCACUGAUGAAAAUGGAUGACCCUUCUAUUUCCAGGAAUAUUCCCUGGGCUUUUGAGGCAAUAAAGCAAGCAAGUGAAUGGGUAAGAAGAACUGAAGGACAGUACCCAUCUAUCUGCCCACGGCUUGAACUGGGGAAAGACUGGGACUCUGCCACCAAGCAGUUGCUGGGACUCCAGCCCAUAAGCACUGUGUCCCCUCUUCAUAGAGUCCUCCAUUACAGUCAAGGCUAAGUCAAAUGAAACUGAAUUUUAAACUUUUUGCAUGCUUCUAUGUAGAAAAUAAUAAAAUGAUAAUAGAUACUUAUAAUGAAACUUCAUUAAGGUUUCAUUCAGUGUAGCAAUUACUGUCUUUAAAAAUUAAGUGGAAGAAGAAAUACUUUAAUCAAC
This 1790-nucleotide long non-coding RNA is filed under the name Pan troglodytes (chimpanzee). Its description in RNAcentral is "long non-coding RNA NONPTRT004423". Lineage: Eukaryota; Metazoa; Chordata; Mammalia; Primates; Hominidae. The record is from RNAcentral.